This 253-nucleotide ribosomal RNA is filed under the name uncultured bacterium. RNAcentral's name for it is "partial 16S ribosomal RNA". It matches the Rfam family "Bacterial small subunit ribosomal RNA", at positions 524 to 776 of the family's 1533-position model. The record is from RNAcentral.
UACGUAGGGUGCAAGCGUUGUCCGGAAUUAUUGGGCGUAAAGAGCUCGUAGGCGGUCUGUCGCGUCUGGUGUGAAAACUCAGGGCUUAACCCUGAGCUUGCAUCGGGUACGGGCAGACUAGAGUGCGGUAGGGGAGACUGGAAUUCCUGGUGUAGCGGUGAAAUGCGCAGAUAUCAGGAGGAACACCGGUGGCGAAGGCGGGUCUCUGAAACGCAACUGACGCUGAGACGCGAAAGCGUGGGGAGCAAACAGG